AAACUCCGCCAGCCGAUAGGCGCUUUUGUUUUGUCCACCACUAGCCAAGCAAAAGCCGUCAAAUCAUCCUCGCAUUUGACCCAAGGUAUUAAACUAAUUUUUGCGUUUGAAUUGUUUAAAUUUCCAACGAAUCUUCGCUAUGAGUACUAUCGGCACUGGAUACGACUUGUCGGCCUCGCAGUUCUCGCCUGAUGGCCGAGUUUUCCAGAUCGACUACGCCUCGAAGGCGGUGGAGAAGAGCGGCACCGUGAUCGGGAUUCGAGGCAAGGACGCCGUGGUGCUUGCCGUGGAAAAGAUCAUCAGCAGCAAGCUGUACGAACCGGACGCCGGCGGACGCAUCUUCACCAUCGAAAAGAACAUCGGAAUGGCGGUGGCCGGCUUGGUGGCCGAUGGAAACUAUGUGGCGGACAUCGCCCGACAGGAGGCAGCCAAUUACAGGCAGCAAUUCGAGCACGCUAUCCCGCUAAAACACCUAUGCGAUCGAGUAGCCGGUUACGUCCACGCCUAUACUCUGUACAGUGCCGUCCGUCCCUUCGGACUGUCCAUCAUCCUCGCCUCCUGGGACGAGGUUGAGGGUCCACAGCUCUACAAAAUCGAGCCGUCCGGCUCCUCCUUCGGUUACUUCGCCUGCGCCAGUGGUAAGGCCAAACAGCUGGCCAAGACUGAGAUGGAAAAGCUCAAGACGGAUAUGAAGAUCGACGACUUGGUGAAGAGCGCCGGUGAAAUCAUCUACAAAGUCCAUGACGAGUUGAAGGACAAGGACUUCCGCUUCGAAAUGGGUUUGGUGGGCAGGGUAACCGAAGGCCUACAUCUCAUAAAUCCCCCGGAACUGACGGAAAAGGCGAGGAAUGCCGGCGAUGCCGCCAAGACGGAAGAUGACAGCGACAAUGAGACGCGCUAGUUCGUUUGUGCCAGUGAAUCUAAUUCUGGGCCUAAAUACAUAAUGUUAAUUUUAUAUUUCCCUAAAGCGCAAAAUGAAUAAACAAAAUCGGGUCUGCAUAAAAAUAGUCCGGCUAUCGGAACUGGUUCAUUUCGAAUGAAAAUGUAGAUAUCGAAGAAAACUCGAUUACUAUGAAUAAAGUCAUAUCGCUAACAGCUGAUGCAUUUCGCGCCAUUUAUUGUAUUUUAUUUUGUUUAACACGACGUGAAAUUCAGCCUUUUAUUCAUAAGUACAAUGACAACCUUAAUAGAACAGUUAAUUACGAAAAUGGGCCUAAGGGAGGAGCCAAACGUUUUAGA
RNA transcript from Drosophila teissieri, 1239 nucleotides. It is a transcript of the gene named proteasome subunit alpha type-3, with no coding region annotated. The record is from RefSeq and is a predicted model, not a curated record. The transcript has 4 exons. Lineage: Eukaryota; Metazoa; Arthropoda; Insecta; Diptera; Drosophilidae.